Molecule: non-coding RNA, 648 nt
Organism: Meleagris gallopavo (turkey)
Lineage: Eukaryota; Metazoa; Chordata; Aves; Galliformes; Phasianidae
Source: RefSeq, a predicted model, not a curated record
GGUAUCACCUUAGUGGAGCUGACAAAGCUCAAAGCAAACUGGUAGUGGCUCACUGAGGAUCCGUACCAGCAAGGUGUCUUGACAUCAAGGUGGAAAGGAUCUCAGUGCAGGUGUGACCUCAAGAAGCAUCCCUGCUCAAGGGGAGAGCUCGUCCUGCAGCCUGCUGCUGUGCAGGAGAGCCUAAGAGGUGCUCGUGCUGCUCUCUAUUUUGGUGCUAAGAUGAUUGACUCAUUGCUGUAUUUGUUUUUAGGCACGUGCUCAGUUGGCCCUCAGCUGUUGAGCCAGAGGUCUGCUGUGAGUUCUUGCAGCCUCCCAGCCUGAGACAGUUUUGUCAUCGCCAAUGUGAUUUAGCCAGGAGUGUUGCUCACUGUCUUCCUGUGCCAGGCUGAGGGAGGAAGGAAGAGAGAAAGGGAGAGGAGGGAGCGCACCAUCACACUGGCUUUGCUGGGAAGGAAGCCUGAUCACAGCAGAGUGAGUCUGCCUGCGUCAGCAGAAGAGCUGCCUUCGUGGAGGUGCAGAUGCAGCUGGCCGCUGUGGAAUUCAUCUUGAACCACUCAGAUGUCCUCUUCCGCUCCAAAUCCAGCCCGCUCAUUGGAGAUGGAGCGAGACGCAGUUCUUAAUUGUGGCCCAAGGCCCCGUGGGCUUCUU